Molecule: ribosomal RNA, 253 nt
Filed under: uncultured bacterium
Lineage: Bacteria
Description: partial 16S ribosomal RNA
Rfam family: Bacterial small subunit ribosomal RNA
Source: RNAcentral
UACGGGGGGAGCAAGCGUUGUUCGGAUUUACUGGGCGUAAAGGGCGCGUAGGCGGCGCAACAAGUCACUUGUGAAAUCUCCGGGCUUAACCCGGAGCGGCCAAGUGAUACUGUCGUGCUAGAGUGCGGAAGGGGCUACUGGAAUUCUCGGUGUAGCGGUGAAAUGCGUAGAUAUCUGGAGGAACACCGGUGGCGAAGGCGGCAUCCUGGACCGGCAUUGACGCUGAGGCGCGAAAGCCAGGGGAGCAAACGGG